CAGGCGUAACACAUGCAAGUCGAACGAAGCCUUCGGGCUUAGUGGCGCACGGGUGCGUAACGCGUGGGAAUCUGCCCUUGGGUACGGAAUAACAGUGAGAAAUUACUGCUAAUACCGUAUGAUGUCUUCGGACCAAAGAUUUAUCGCCCAGGGAUGAGCCCGCGUAGGAUUAGCUAGUUGGUGAGGUAAAGGCUCACCAAGGCUACGAUCCUUAGCUGGUCUGAGAGGAUGAUCAGCCACACUGGGACUGAGACACGGCCCAGACUCCUACGGGAGGCAGCAGUGGGGAAUAUUAAGGAUGGGCGAAAGCCUGAUCCAUCAA
RNAcentral lists this ribosomal RNA (322 nucleotides) under uncultured bacterium. Its description in RNAcentral is "bacterial SSU rRNA". It matches the Rfam family "Bacterial small subunit ribosomal RNA", at positions 46 to 392 of the family's 1533-position model. The record is from RNAcentral.